Molecule: non-coding RNA, 21 nt
Filed under: Caenorhabditis elegans
Lineage: Eukaryota; Metazoa; Nematoda; Chromadorea; Rhabditida; Rhabditidae
Source: RNAcentral
UAAUAGUAGUAAAAAGCCGGA